GUCUUGGAAAUUCUGAAACCUGAAGAUCAUAAGUUGUUCAGACAAAGACAAAGCAUUCGAUAGAGUAGAUGGAGUUGGAACUGCACUGGAAACAUCUGCAAUUGGCAACAAACAAUUUGCAAGAAGAGCACUGCUUGUUGCUGUGAAGUAGCUUUCCCAGUAAUGGGGUGGAGGGAUUCUGUCAAAUGCCUCUAGAUCGAUUUCGAAGAGCUCUUCUUCCUCAUCUUCCAUAUCUAUUGUGCCAGAAUCUUUGAGAACUACAGAAUCCAUUGUUGGUUGCAGUUGCUGGGCUCUGAUUUGUGGGUUUGUUUUUGGAGACUUGGGUUUAAUUAUAUAGGAGGUGGUGGGGAGUGGGAAGGUGGUAAGUAGAGCGCUCUUCAACAAAUCUACAACAAUCAAACAGAAUUU
This 408-nucleotide unclassified non-coding RNA is filed under the name Hevea brasiliensis (rubber tree). The record is from RNAcentral. Lineage: Eukaryota; Viridiplantae; Streptophyta; Magnoliopsida; Malpighiales; Euphorbiaceae.